This 71-nucleotide transfer RNA is filed under the name Loxodonta africana (African savanna elephant). It matches the Rfam family "tRNA". Rfam says of the family: Transfer RNA (tRNA) molecules are approximately 80 nucleotides in length. Lineage: Eukaryota; Metazoa; Chordata; Mammalia; Proboscidea; Elephantidae. The record is from Rfam by way of RNAcentral.
GCAGUAGUGACUCGGUGGUGGAAUUCUUGCCUUCCAUGCAGGAGACUCAGGUUCAAGCCCUGGCCAGUGCA